RNAcentral lists this transfer RNA (81 nucleotides) under Endocarpon pusillum. RNAcentral describes it as "tRNA-Asn (GTT) (tRNA-Asn-GTT-2-1)". It matches the Rfam family "tRNA". Rfam says of the family: Transfer RNA (tRNA) molecules are approximately 80 nucleotides in length. Lineage: Eukaryota; Fungi; Ascomycota; Eurotiomycetes; Verrucariales; Verrucariaceae. The record is from RNAcentral.
GACAGCAUGACCGAGUGGUUAAGGUGCAUGUAUGUUGAUCAUGUGGGUUCGCCCGCACAGGUUCGAAUCCUGUUGCUGUCG